Molecule: ribosomal RNA, 439 nt
Filed under: uncultured bacterium
Lineage: Bacteria
Description: partial 16S ribosomal RNA
Rfam family: Bacterial small subunit ribosomal RNA
Source: RNAcentral
CUACGGGGUGCUCCAGUGAGGAAUAUUGCACAAUGGGGGAAACCCUGAUGCAGCAACGCCGCGUGGAGGAUGACGCAUUUCGGUGUGUAAACUCCUUUUAUAUGUCAAGAAAAUGACGGUAGCAUAUGAAUAAGCACCGGCUAACUCCGUGCCAGCAGCCGCGGUAAUACGGAGGGUGCAAGCGUUACUCGGAAUCACUGGGCGUAAAGGACGCGUAGGCGGGUUGUCAAGUCAGGUGUGAAAUCCUACAGCUUAACUGUAGAACUGCACUUGAAACUGGCAGCCUAGAGUAUGGGAAAAAAAGAUGGAAUUAGUAGUGUAGGGGUAAAAUCCGUAGAUAUUACUAGGAAUAUCAAAAGCGAAGGCGAUCUCCUGGAACAUUACUGACGCUAAGGCGUGAAAGCGUGGGGAGCAAACAGGAUUAGAUACCCCCGUAGUC